CCGUUAAGUUGUACUUUGACCUGGAGUUUUCGUUCACGACGAUAACAACGUUUACAGUGAUGACUGUGGGAUAAAAAAGUGAUUCUGUUUGAAGAUGUUUGAAUCGAUUGGACGUUUGAUUACAUUUAUUUAUCGGCUGUUUUCUAUUCUAAAGGAGUCACACUGCUAAACUGCAAGAACUGUCUCAUCACAACUUGCACACCGAGCUUCGCGACGUUCCCGAGUCUUCUCGUCCAC
Long non-coding RNA from Harpegnathos saltator (Jerdon's jumping ant), 237 nucleotides. RefSeq lists it as uncharacterized. The record is from RefSeq and is a predicted model, not a curated record. NCBI's taxonomy places the organism in Eukaryota, Metazoa, Arthropoda, Insecta, Hymenoptera, Formicidae. The transcript has 3 exons.